AUGUGGCUCUCAAACUCCUAUAAUAGCCUUUUUAUUCUCUCUCACGAUGUCCACUCUCUUCCUUUUCCCUUCUUCUUCGCCCGCAUUAACACCGCCACAACCACCAUCUCAUCACCGAGAACCACCGGUUAUAUCGCGAAAGCAUCACCUUCGCCUCACUUUAUCUAUGUCAAACACAAAUUUGAAACCCUAAGUCUUGGGGAAGAGAUUAAAUGCCAUUUGUUGAGGCUUAUGAGCAUGAUUAUAAGGGGUUCAAUUUCACUCAUCCCCCUCUACAUGUUGGUAACAAGAGAAAAUUGA
Vicia faba (fava bean) is the source of this 300-nucleotide non-coding RNA. The record is from the annotation of a GenBank genome assembly. Lineage: Eukaryota; Viridiplantae; Streptophyta; Magnoliopsida; Fabales; Fabaceae.